ACUCCUACGGGAGGCAGCAGUGGGGAAUAUUGCACAAUGGGGGAAACCCUGAUGCAGCCAUGCCGCGUGUGUGAAGAAGGCCUUCGGGUUGUAAAGCACUUUCAGUAGGGAGGAAGGUAGUGUAGUUAACACCUGCACUAUUUGACGUUACCUACAGAAGAAGCACCGGACUAACUCCGUGCCAGCAGCCGCGGUAAUACGGAGGGUGCGAGCGUUAAUCGGAAUUACUGGGCGUAAAGCGCAUGCAGGUGGUUUGUUAAGUCAGAUGUGAAAGCCCGGGGCUCAACCUCGGAAUUGCAUUUGAAACUGGCAGACUAGAGUACUGUAGAGGGGGGUAGAAUUUCAGGUGUAGCGGUGAAAUGCGUAGAGAUCUGAAGGAAUACCGGUGGCGAAGGCGGCCCCCUGGACAGAUACUGACACUCAGAUGCGAAAGCGUGGGGGAGCAAACAGGAUUAGAUACCCUGGUAGGAUACCG
RNAcentral lists this ribosomal RNA (475 nucleotides) under uncultured bacterium. RNAcentral's name for it is "bacterial SSU rRNA". It matches the Rfam family "Bacterial small subunit ribosomal RNA", at positions 335 to 797 of the family's 1533-position model. The record is from RNAcentral.